This 470-nucleotide ribosomal RNA is filed under the name Shigella sonnei. Its description in RNAcentral is "bacterial SSU rRNA". It matches the Rfam family "Bacterial small subunit ribosomal RNA", at positions 580 to 1049 of the family's 1533-position model. Lineage: Bacteria; Pseudomonadati; Pseudomonadota; Gammaproteobacteria; Enterobacterales; Enterobacteriaceae. The record is from RNAcentral.
UUGUUAAGUCAGAUGUGAAAUCCCCGGGCUCAACCUGGGAACUGCAUCUGAUACUGGCAAGCUUGAGUCUCGUAGAGGGGGGUAGAAUUCCAGGUGUAGCGGUGAAAUGCGUAGAGAUCUGGAGGAAUACCGGUGGCGAAGGCGGCCCCCUGGACGAAGACUGACGCUCAGGUGCGAAAGCGUGGGGAGCAAACAGGAUUAGAUACCCUGGUAGUCCACGCCGUAAACGAUGUCGACUUGGAGGUUGUGCCCUUGAGGCGUGGCUUCCGGAGCUAACGCGUUAAGUCGACCGCCUGGGGAGUACGGCCGCAAGGUUAAAACUCAAAUGAAUUGACGGGGGCCCGCACAAGCGGUGGAGCAUGUGGUUUAAUUCGAUGCAACGCGAAGAACCUUACCUGGUCUUGACAUCCACAGAACUUUCCAGAGAUGGAUUGGUGCCUUCGGGAACUGUGAGACAGGUGCUGCAUGGC